This 485-nucleotide ribosomal RNA is filed under the name uncultured bacterium. RNAcentral's name for it is "bacterial SSU rRNA". It matches the Rfam family "Bacterial small subunit ribosomal RNA", at positions 30 to 512 of the family's 1533-position model. The record is from RNAcentral.
AUUGAACGCUGGCGGCAUGCCUAACACAUGCAAGUCGAACGGAGGUAGGGGCAACUCUACUUCAGUGGCGGACGGGUGAGGAAUGCGUCGGAAUCUACCCUAUGGUGGGGGAUAACACAGGGAAACUUGUGCUAAUACCGCAUAAUGUCGGGAGACCAAAGCAGGGGACCGCAAGGCCUUGCGCGAUAGGAUGAGCCGACGCCCGAUUAGCUAGUUGGUAGGGUAAAGGCCUACCAAGGCGACGAUCGGUAGCUGGUCUGAGAGGAUGAUCAGCCACACUGGGACUGAGACACGGCCCAGACUCCUACGGGAGGCAGCAGUGGGGAAUAUUGGACAAUGGGCGCAAGCCUGAUCCAGCAAUGCCGCGUGUGUGAAGAAGGCCUGCGGGUUGUAAAGCACUUUUGUUCGGGAAGAAAUCAUGCUGGUUAAUACCUGGUAUGGAUGACGGUACCGAAAGAAUAAGCACCGGCUAACUUCGUGCCAGC